This is a long non-coding RNA of Hypanus sabinus (Atlantic stingray), 4304 nucleotides long. RefSeq lists it as uncharacterized. Lineage: Eukaryota; Metazoa; Chordata; Chondrichthyes; Myliobatiformes; Dasyatidae. The transcript is spliced from 3 exons. The record is from RefSeq and is a predicted model, not a curated record.
GUUUCCACUCACUUAAGCCGGAGAUCAUUCUUCAGACCAGGUGCUUUCACAGUGCUAUUCAGUCAGAAGGCAUUUUUUUCCCCAAUAGAGUACCUUUACCUAAUCUUGACAAAGCAGAAAUCAACUGCAGCUCCUAUGAAGGCCAUGAACUUAUCAAUCACCCAUCUUGAGGAGACUGAGGUCCCUUAACAUCUGCCGGAUGAUGCUGAGGAUGUUCUACGAGGCAGUGGUGGCCAGUGCUAUCAUUUUUGCUGUUGUGUGCUGGGGCAGCAGGCUGAGGGUAGCGGACACCAACAGAAUCAACAAACUCAUUCGUAAGGCCAGUGAUGUUGUGGGGGUGGAACUGGACUCUCUGACAGUGGUGUCUGAAAAGACGAUGCGUCCAAGUUGCAUGCCAUCUUGGGCAAUGACUCCCAUCCGCUCCAUAAUGUACUGGUUAGGCACAGGAGUACAUUCAGCCAGAGACUCAUUCCACUGAGAUGUAACACUGAGCGUCAUAGGAAGUCAUUCCUGCCUGUGGCCAUCAAACUUUACAACUCCUCCCUCAGAGUGUCAGAUACCCUGAGCCAAUAGGCCUGGACUUAUUUCCACUUGGCAUGAUUAACUUCUUCUUCUUCUUCUUCUUCUUCUUCUUCUUAUUAUUAUUAUUAUUAUUAUUAUUAUUAUUACUAAUAAUAAUAAUAAUAAUAAUAAUAAUAAUGGUUUUAUGUUGCUAUAUUUCUUCACUAUUCUUGGUUAGUGCAGCUGUAACGAAACCCAAUUUCCCUUGGGAUCAAUAAAGUAUGACUGUCUGUCUGUCUGUCUAUGAACAAUUUCUGGAGGUCCAAGAUCCAUAUGCACCACGACCACUGGACUAAGUGUGUAAAUGUAGGAGGAACUAUGUUGAAAAAUAAAUGUGGCAGGUUUUCUAAAAUUGACUCCUUCUACCUUAGUCCACAAACUUAUUAAUCACCCCUUGUAAUUAGAUAUUGCAACAAAUACUAACACAAUAUUGUUUAUAUAUGGCAGUGACUUAACAUAAGUAGAUCUCAAAACUAAGUACAGUAUUGAUUGUACCCAGACUGGUUAUACUGAAGUGUAUCUACAAGAAUAUUUGUCAGGUACAAUGCAUUUUGAUCCUUGGAAGACCCACCUCUGCCCUGCAUGUACUGUACAUUUGGCUUGAGAUUAAAUAGUUUCAUUCAAUCCAAGAGGCUCUUCCAUCACAAUACCACUUCCUUUCACUAUUUUUCAGAAUCAAAAUCAGGUUUAAUAUCACCAUAUGUUGUGAAAUUUGUUACAUUUGCAGCAACAGUGCAAUGCAAUGUAUAAUAAUUGAGAGAGAAAAAAUGGAUUACAGUAAGUAUGUAUACAAUAUACAUGUAUUAAAUAGUCAAAUUAAAUAAGUAGCGUAACAAAAAAAAAAUAGAAAGUAGUGAGGUAGUGUUCAUGGGUUCAAAGUGCAUUCAGAAAUCAGAUGUCAGAGGGGAAGGAGCUGUCCUGAAUCAUUGAGUGGGUGCCUUUGGGCUCCUGUACCUCUUUCCUGAUGGUGACAAUGAGAAAAAUGUAUGUCCUGGGUGAUGGGGUCCUCAGUGAUGGACACUGACUUUUUGAGGCAUUGCUCCUUGAAGAUGUCCUGGAUACCAGGAAGGCUACUGCUCAUGCUGGAGCUGACUAAUUCUGCAGCUCUCUGCAAUUUACUGCAAUCCUGGGCAGUGCCUUCUCACACCCUCCUCGGACAAUCAUACAGCCAGUUACAAUGCUCUCCAUGUAGAAGUUCACAAGUGUCUUCAUUCUAAUUUGUAUUCCUUUCAAUCACCUAUACUGAAUUUUUAGCACUAAUUCUAUAUUAUUGCAGUCCUUAAGAUUUAUGUUAAGUAAAUUUAAAUAUUUUGUUAUCAUGAAGUAAAAAUACCAAAUCAGUACAUUAUGAUAGUGCAAUAUUCUUUCACGCCUGACAACUGUUGAUGGCUUAAAAUGAUUAAUGUUCUGUACCAUGCACGGUAACGUGGUUUGUAAUAUCAUUAUUACUGUGCCAAAGAACAUGUUACAAUGAACUUUUGACCUGAAAGUUUAAUUCAGUUUCCCUUUUCACAGCAGCUGCCUGACCUGCUGACUGUUUCCAAAGUUUUCUGUUAGUCCGAAAUUUUCAGUUUCUAAUGUUUCUCGAUUUUCAUUAUCUUUUCUGUCUUGAGGUAUAUCUGGAAGUUUGGGAAACCUUAUGGAUGAUAAGGGACUGAUUUCUGUGCCAGACUGAUAUUGUCGAGCUGUCUCUUAUUCUGCAUGAUAUCUGGUCGAAGAACAGAAGCCAGAGUAAAUGCAGAGGUGGAACAAUGAUGUCAGAACAAAGAAGAUGAAGAUAAAGAGGCCGUUGUAGUAAAUGAAGCAAAAGGCUUUAAAUAUAAUAUAAUUUCUUCAUAUUUUGUAUAGCCAAUCAGUCACUAUUCUAAGUUAUAGACUGUCAAAUUUAGCAUUCUUUUCACUUUUCACAUUGAAAGAAUUCUGAAUGACAGCAUAUGUAUUCAGGAGGCAUGUUCUUCAGGAGAUAUUCUGUGCUGCUUGUGUGGAGUUUGCUUGUUGUCCCUGUGACUGAAUGAGUUUCUCCCUAGUGCCAUGGUUUCAUUCACAUCCCAAAAACAUGGCACUUGGUUGGUAAGUUGGCCUCUGUAGUUUAGAAAAUGUGAGUGGUAAGAAAAUCAUAGGAUGUGGGGAAUAAUGUGCAUAAGAGAGAGAAAGAGAGAGAGAAGAGAUUAUAAGGAAGUAAAUAAGAGAUUACUUUAAGACAUCCUUAAGAGUGCCAUUGUUAAUGCAAAUUACACAGUUCACUGUGUGUUUCAGUGUACAUGUGAUAAAUAAAUCAGAAUCUGAGAUGGAACAAAUGAAUUCCGUCCAUCUAUUUUGUAUGCAGUAUGAGAAACGCUCUGCUUGGUUGGAGGACAUUUUCUGAAUCUAAACUUUAGAUCAAUCAUUAUGAAGUAAAUUUUGUAAAAGACUAUGAAUACAAGUUGAGCACUUCACAUCCGAAAUGCUUGGUGCCAGAAGCGUUUCAGAAUUCAGAUUUGGAAUAUCUGGAUCUAUAUAAUGAGAUAGCUUGUGGAUGGCCCCCAAGUCUAAAUACGAAAUCCAUUUUCAUUACAGGUACAACUUAUGUACAACUGUCCUGAUGCUCACAGAGUGAACAGUCUUUAGUAGCAGCACAGUCUGGCACCCUCCACUGACUGUCCAAGUUGAAUGACCACCCCAUUCUCGACUUUACUGAGUUUCAGCACUGCGAUUCGCUUCAUAUCCACCAUCAUUUUCAACAGCUGCUCAUUUCAUAGCAACUACAGUGAGAGGGGGUUAGUUUUAUACAGUAUUUUUAAUUAUUUUAUGCAUGAAACAAUGUGUACUCUGAACCAUCAGAAAGAUAAGGAAACAAUACUUCAAUUGUCCAGGUGGAAGUCAGUGGCUGUUUGGAAUCACCAUCGUUCCUGACACUUGUUCAUUGCACUUAUGCACUGAAUCAAUCGUUCAGUGUGUUAGAUUUCCAUCAGCGACUGUCUUGGCAAACUCAUCAAUGAAUUUCCCUGCUGCUUCGUGAUCAGCAGACACUUUAUCACCGCAAAUCUUCAAAAAUCUAAUGCUGUGCCUUUUCUUAAAUUUCUGCAACCAGCCUUCUGGAUAUUCACAAUUACCUUCAAUUUUCAGUUUGUUGUGAUAGAUCUUUACUAGAUCAGCAUACCGUUAAAUGGCACAUGUUCACUUCAACACUCACGAAUCCACUCUUCCAAUAUACAAUAUGAUCAAGAUCUUCAAUUUUCACUUCAUGCAGAGGCUUUUUAUUUUUCAUUAACUUGUUCAUUACAUAUGAGAGGUCACUUCCCAAACCAGAGACCUGCACACCAUUGGGGAAUCUUCCCAGAGUCCUGUGGAAUUUUCCAUUUGUGACAUAAUGUCAGUGCUCAAAUCAAAUUUGAAUUUCAGAGGCUUCCAGAUUUUGGAAUUUUGGGUACGGCGUGCUCAAUCUGUACUUCAAUUUAAAAUUGAAUGCUGACACGACAGUCUUCGAAUUGAGGAAAGCUUAAAGUGUGUUAAAGUAGUUUAAAGUAGUUCAUGCAAACUAAAAACAUAUAUUUUAAAGGAAAUCAUUGAAAAUAUAUUUUGCUUGGUUGAAGGUUCUCAGCAUUGUUUGUUAAUGAAAACUGUACUGUACUGAAUUGUUAGUUUCUAAAAAAAAUGUUGCCUAAAGUUACAAUAUGUGCUAAUUAACAUCAAAUGCAAUGUAGUGGGAAUUGUUUUAUAAUUUGUAAAUACGAUUAAUCUAAAAAUAAAAUUCAUCACUUUUA